This 992-nucleotide long non-coding RNA is filed under the name Marmota monax (woodchuck). The record is from RNAcentral. Lineage: Eukaryota; Metazoa; Chordata; Mammalia; Rodentia; Sciuridae.
CAGAAAUAAAAUCUUCUUAAGCCUGGACAAUAAGCAUGAUUAGCAGUGGAGAGCAAUGCCUGAGUGUAUGAGCUUGGAGAUUUUGAGCAUGUUGCUGGAUCUUUGUGUCUCUCUUCACUUGUGAAAUGAGGAGAUGCUAUGAAUCUGUUAAGCUCCUGGGGGAAAGCAAAGAAGGUAUUAAUUAUAGGACCACACUUCAGACAUUGCCAAGCCACUAUAGGUCCUCAAAAAUUGGCAUUUCUUUCCAUUUAUUCAUAGUAAGUAUAAUAAUCUUGGAAAUUUAAAAACAGCUCCUUCAAUUACCAAUUAGAGAAACUUGAAGAAAGCCAAGGUUCCCUAACUCAAAUGAUUUACCCAGUUCCAAUGGGAUCCUUAAAAGUUUUAUUCCCAUCUAUUUUUUCUCAUUAAAACUUUCAUUUGGAGUGUAGUUUUAAGAAAUCAAAUAAAUGCCCCAAGUAUAAUUCAUGUUUUCACUUCCCCACAAGAGUAAAAUUUGAUCAGAGUUUAAACAGCCACCUGACAAAGACAUUUGCAAACUGCUGUGGAAAUGCACACUGUUUUCUGACGCUGUUAGAAACCCUGCCUGCAACACUUAUAUUUUAGAUUGAGUUCAACAUAUUGCCACUUCCGGGUUGAAAGAUUCUUCAGGGUUUUGCCAUGUGGUAAGCUAGAAAGUCUGAUUUUGUACUCUAAAAUCUAAAAUGAGGGCUGCCAAAAGGAUUAAAGCCUCUUAGUUGAAAGCAAAACCAAUAUGAAUAAUAAGUGAUACUUUACCAUUCAUUAUGCAGCUAUAUUCAGGUAACUUUGCAGAAAUGAUGAGUAACUUAGGAACUUUUGCUUAGAAACAUUUAAAUUUUUUUUGGAACUGUUCUGUUCCUGAUUUGAAUAAUUAUCGGAAUACAUGAAUACAUAAAUAAUUUGGUUAAAUGUGUUGUGUGAUUUUAAUAACCUGAAUUUUAAAAAUACAACUUUUACUCUUUGACGGAAUCUCU